This 386-nucleotide ribosomal RNA is filed under the name Phrixgnathus celia. RNAcentral's name for it is "partial large subunit ribosomal RNA". It matches the Rfam family "Archaeal large subunit ribosomal RNA", at positions 1906 to 2675 of the family's 2987-position model. Lineage: Eukaryota; Metazoa; Mollusca; Gastropoda; Stylommatophora; Punctidae. The record is from RNAcentral.
CAUAGCUUGGUGUAAAUAUUAAGUAUCCCCUGCCCAGUGAUUUUAACGGCCGCAGUACCUUGACUGUGCUAAGGUAGCAUAAUAAUUUGGCUUUUAAUUGGAGUCGGGAAUGAAUGGGAUACGUGGAGGUUGUCUCUUACAAGAUUUGUAAAUUUACUUAUUAGGUGAAAAUUCCUAUUUUUAUUAUUAGACGAGAAGACCCUUAGAAUUUAAUAUAUUUUGUUGGGGCGACAAAGUUACAUUUAACUUACUUUUUAUUUAAACAAGCCGAGAAUGAAUAAAUUACCUGAGGGAUAACAGCAUAAUUAUAAGAUUGUGACCUCGAUGUUGGAUUAAGGUGUAAUGGUUAACAAUUAUUAUUGUUCUGUUCGAACCUUACGUGAUCU